AAGUCGUAACAAGGUUUCCGUAGGUGAACCUGCGGAAGGAUCAUUAUCAAAACAGCGGACUUCGGUCCUUGCUGCACCCUUGUCUUUUGCGUACCGUAUGUUUCCUCGGCGGGCUUGCCUGCCGGUUGGACAUUAUCAAACCUUUUUGUAGUUGCAAUCAGCGUCAGAAAAUAAACAAUAAUUACAACUUUCAACAACGGAUCUCUUGGUUCUGGCAUCGAUGAAGAACGCAGCGAAAUGCGAAAAGUAGUGUGAAUUGCAGAAUUCAGUGAAUCAUCGAAUCUUUGAACGCACAUUGCGCCCCUUGGUAUUCCAUGGGGCAUGCCUGUUCGAGCGUCAUUUUGUACCCUCAAGCACUGCUUGGUGUUGGGCGUUUGUCCUGCAAAGGACUCGCCUGAAAGCGAUUGGCGGCCAACGUACUGGUGGUAGAGCGCAGCACAAUUUGCGUCUCUCCCUUCUACGUCGGCGUCCAUGAAGCCUUUUUUCAACGUUUGACCUCGGAUCAGGUAGGGAUACCCGCUGAACUUAA
RNAcentral lists this ribosomal RNA (529 nucleotides) under uncultured fungus. Its description in RNAcentral is "eukaryotic LSU rRNA". The stretch from base 186 to 339 matches the Rfam family "5.8S ribosomal RNA". The record is from RNAcentral. Lineage: Eukaryota; Fungi.